GACGAACGCUGGCGGCGUGCUUAACACAUGCAAGUGGAGCGACGAACCAGGGCUUGCCCUGGGGCAGAGCCGCGAACGGGUGAGUAACACGUGGGUUACCUGCCCCGAUGACCGGGACAACCCGAGGAAACUCGGGCUAAUACCGGAUGUGUCCGAAAGGGGAAAGGAAGCUUCGGCCUCCGCAUCGGGAUGGGCCCGCGGCCCAUUAGCUUGUUGGUGAGGUAACGGCUCACCAAGGCUGCGANGGGUAGCUGGUCUGAGAGGACGAUCAGCCACACUGGGACUGAGACACGGCCCAGACUCCUACGGGAGGCAGCAGUGGGGAAUCUUGCGCAAUGCGCGAAAGCGUGACGCAGCAACGCCGCGUGGGGAAGAA
Molecule: ribosomal RNA, 376 nt
Filed under: uncultured bacterium
Lineage: Bacteria
Description: bacterial SSU rRNA
Rfam family: Bacterial small subunit ribosomal RNA
Source: RNAcentral